GAAUUCGAUUGCGGAUCCGCGGGCCGCUGCAGAACUGGUUGAUCCUGCCGGACCCGACUGCUAUCAGAGUGGGACUAAGCCAUGCGAGUCAACAUAGCAAUAUGUGGCAUACGGCUCAGUAACACGUAGUCAACAUGCCCAGGGGACGUGGAUAACCUCGGGAAACUGAGGAUAAACCGCGAUAAGUCACUACUUCUGGAAUGGGUAAUGACUCAAAUCUACAUGGCCCCUGGAUUGGACUGCGGCCGAUCAGGCUGUUGGUGAGGUAAUGGCCCACCAAACCUGUAACCGGUACGGGCUCUGAGAGGAGGAGCCCGGAGAUGGGCACUGAGACAAGGGCCCAGGCCCUAUGGGGCGCAGCAGGCGCGAAACCUCUGCAAUAGGCGAAAGCCUGACAGGGUUACUCUGAGUGAUUUCCGUUAAGGAGAUCUUUUGGCACCUCUAAAAAUGGUGCAGAAUAAGGGGUGGGCAAGUCUGGUGUCAGCCGCCGCGGUAAUACCAGCACCCCGAGUGGUCGGGACGUUUAUUGGGCCUAAAGCAUCCGUAGCCGGUUCUACAAGUCUUCCGUUAAAUCCACCUGCUUAACAGAUGGGCUGCGGAAGAUACUAUAGAGCUAGGAGGCGGGAGAGGCAAGCGGUACUCGAUGGGUAGGGGUAAAAUCCGUUGAUCCAUUGAAGACCACCAGUGGCGAAGGCGGCUUGCCAGAACGCGCUCGACGGUGAGGGAUGAAAGCUGGGGGAGCAAACCGGAUUAGAUACCCGGGUAGUCCCAGCUGUAAACGAUGCAGACUCGGUGAUGAGUUGGCUUCUUGCCAACUCAGUGCCGCAGGGAAGCCGUUAAGUUUGCCGCCUGGGGAGUACGGUCGCAAGACUGAAACUUAAAGGAAUUGGCGGGGGAGCACCACAAGGGGUGAAGCCUGCGGUUCA
Molecule: ribosomal RNA, 926 nt
Filed under: uncultured archaeon
Lineage: Archaea
Description: bacterial SSU rRNA
Rfam family: Archaeal small subunit ribosomal RNA
Source: RNAcentral